UCUACGACGCACGCAUUAGUUUUCGCAGUGAAUUCAAAGUAGAUAUUAUUGCGUCUCUCGAGAAUUAACACAGACUGAACGAUUUACAGAUGUGUACAGUACAGAUGUGUGGUCAGCUCGUGAUGAUACAUCGGCAGAUGCAUCCGCAGACGCGUCUGUCGAUGUGUAGAGGAUGCAUAAGAUAAGAAACAGGGGCCAUUCUUUCUCCUGACAUUGUCAAUAAUGUAGCCCUUAAAUAAUUAUUUUAAACCGUUUGUUUUUUGUCUGGUGUAUUCCAGGAUGCGCUGGAUAGCUUCAUUUUUGAAAAUGUCCCUGAAGAUGCUCUGAGGACAAAAUACUUAUGUAAGAUUUAAUAAAAUAAAUAACUGCUCGA
Diabrotica virgifera virgifera (western corn rootworm) is the source of this 373-nucleotide long non-coding RNA. RefSeq lists it as uncharacterized. Lineage: Eukaryota; Metazoa; Arthropoda; Insecta; Coleoptera; Chrysomelidae. The record is from RefSeq and is a predicted model, not a curated record. The transcript has 2 exons.